This 83-nucleotide transfer RNA is filed under the name Rasamsonia emersonii. Its description in RNAcentral is "tRNA-Val". It matches the Rfam family "tRNA". Rfam says of the family: Transfer RNA (tRNA) molecules are approximately 80 nucleotides in length. Their secondary structure includes four short double-helical elements and three loops (D, anti-codon, and T loops). Further hydrogen bonds mediate the characteristic L-shaped molecular structure. tRNAs have two regions of fundamental functional importance: the anti-codon, which is responsible for specific mRNA codon recognition, and the 3' end, to which the tRNAs corresponding amino acid is attached (by aminoacyl-tRNA synthetases). tRNAs cope with the degeneracy of the genetic code in two manners: having more than one tRNA (with a specific anti-codon) for a particular amino acid; and 'wobble' base-pairing, i.e. permitting non-standard base-pairing at the 3rd anti-codon position. Lineage: Eukaryota; Fungi; Ascomycota; Eurotiomycetes; Eurotiales; Trichocomaceae. The record is from RNAcentral. RNAcentral also lists the same sequence under 1 other name.
GGUCGACUGGCCCAGUGGUUAAGGCGUCCGCCUUACAAUUCCUGGAUCGCGGAAGGUCGUGGGUUCGAUUCCCACGUCGACCA